UCUAGAAUGAAAGGAUAUACGAGUAGUUACUGUAUCUGAUAUUUAUUGCAAAAUUAAUUUUCAAGUGCAAAUACUUGUAAAUAAUUGUUAGACGAGAAGACCCUAGAAAUUUAUAUUAAUGUUUCGUUGGGGCAACGUAGUAGAAAAACCUACAGUUAAAGACAAGAAAAAAAUUUGAGAGAAAAAAUUACUCUAGGGAUAACAGCAUAAUUUAUAAAAGUUUGUGACCUCGAUGUUGGAUUUGGGAACUAUAGUUCAGAAGACCCUUAGUACCGCUCUGUUCGAGCAUAAUACCUAACGUGAU
This 304-nucleotide ribosomal RNA is filed under the name Rhagada convicta. RNAcentral's name for it is "partial 16S ribosomal RNA". The record is from RNAcentral. Lineage: Eukaryota; Metazoa; Mollusca; Gastropoda; Stylommatophora; Camaenidae.